This 72-nucleotide transfer RNA is filed under the name Camelus bactrianus (Bactrian camel). It matches the Rfam family "tRNA". Rfam says of the family: Transfer RNA (tRNA) molecules are approximately 80 nucleotides in length. Their secondary structure includes four short double-helical elements and three loops (D, anti-codon, and T loops). Further hydrogen bonds mediate the characteristic L-shaped molecular structure. tRNAs have two regions of fundamental functional importance: the anti-codon, which is responsible for specific mRNA codon recognition, and the 3' end, to which the tRNAs corresponding amino acid is attached (by aminoacyl-tRNA synthetases). tRNAs cope with the degeneracy of the genetic code in two manners: having more than one tRNA (with a specific anti-codon) for a particular amino acid; and 'wobble' base-pairing, i.e. permitting non-standard base-pairing at the 3rd anti-codon position. The record is from Rfam by way of RNAcentral. RNAcentral also lists the same sequence under 2 other names. Lineage: Eukaryota; Metazoa; Chordata; Mammalia; Artiodactyla; Camelidae.
GAGGGUGCAGCUCAGUGGUAGGCUGCAUGCUUUGCAUUCAUGAAGUCUUGGGUUCAAUCCCCAACACCUCCA